RNAcentral lists this ribosomal RNA (440 nucleotides) under uncultured bacterium. RNAcentral describes it as "partial 16S ribosomal RNA". It matches the Rfam family "Bacterial small subunit ribosomal RNA", at positions 338 to 795 of the family's 1533-position model. The record is from RNAcentral.
CCUACGGGAGGCAGCAGUGGGGAAUAUUGCACAAUGGGGGAAACCCUGAUGCAGCGACGCCGCGUGAGUGAAGAAGUAUUUCGGUACGUAAAGCUCUAUCAGCAGGGAAGAAAAUGACGGUACCUGACUAAGAAGCCCCGGCUAACUACGUGCCAGCAGCCGCGGUAAUACGUAGGGGGCAAGCGUUAGCCGGAUUUACUGGGUGUAAAGGGAGCGUAGACGGCAGCGCAAGUCUGGAGUGAAAUCCCAUGGCUUAACCAUGGAACUGCUUUGGAAACUGUGCAGCUAGAGUGCAGGAGAGGUAAGGGGAAUUCCUAGUGUAGCGGUGAAAUGCGUAGAGAUUAGGAGGAACACCAGUGGCGAAGGCGGCUUACUGGACUGUAACUGACGUUGAGGCUCGAAAGCGUGGGGAGCAAACAGGAUUAGAUACCCUUGUAGUC